RNAcentral lists this ribosomal RNA (2900 nucleotides) under Klebsiella pneumoniae. Its description in RNAcentral is "bacterial LSU rRNA". It matches the Rfam family "Bacterial large subunit ribosomal RNA". Lineage: Bacteria; Pseudomonadati; Pseudomonadota; Gammaproteobacteria; Enterobacterales; Enterobacteriaceae. The record is from RNAcentral.
UUAAGCGACUAAGCGUACACGGUGGAUGCCCUGGCAGUCAGAGGCGAUGAAGGACGUGCUAAUCUGCGAAAAGCGUCGGUAAGGUGAUAUGAACCGUUACAGCCGGCGAUGUCCGAAUGGGGAAACCCAGUGCAAUUCGUUGCACUAUCGUUAACUGAAUACAUAGGUUAACGAGGCGAACCGGGGGAACUGAAACAUCUAAGUACCCCGAGGAAAAGAAAUCAACCGAGAUUCCCCCAGUAGCGGCGAGCGAACGGGGAGCAGCCCAGAGUCUGAAUCAGCUUGUGUGUUAGUGGAACGGUCUGGAAAGUCCGACGGUACAGGGUGAUAGUCCCGUACACCAAAAUGCACAGGCUGUGAACUCGAAGAGUAGGGCGGGACACGUGGUAUCCUGUCUGAAUAUGGGGGGACCAUCCUCCAAGGCUAAAUACUCCUGACUGACCGAUAGUGAACCAGUACCGUGAGGGAAAGGCGAAAAGAACCCCGGCGAGGGGAGUGAAAAAGAACCUGAAACCGUGUACGUACAAGCAGUGGGAGCACCUUCGGGUGUGACUGCGUACCUUUUGUAUAAUGGGUCAGCGACUUAUAUUCUGUAGCAAGGUUAACCGUAUAGGGGAGCCGCAGGGAAACCGAGUCUUAACUGGGCGUUAAGUUGCAGGGUAUAGACCCGAAACCCGGUGAUCUAGCCAUGGGCAGGUUGAAGGUUGGGUAACACUAACUGGAGGACCGAACCGACUAAUGUUGAAAAAUUAGCGGAUGACUUGUGGCUGGGGGUGAAAGGCCAAUCAAACCGGGAGAUAGCUGGUUCUCCCCGAAAGCUAUUUAGGUAGCGCCUCGUGAACUCAUCUUCGGGGGUAGAGCACUGUUUCGGCUAGGGGGUCAUCCCGACUUACCAACCCGAUGCAAACUACGAAUACCGAAGAAUGUUAUCACGGGAGACACACGGCGGGUGCUAACGUCCGUCGUGAAGAGGGAAACAACCCAGACCGCCAGCUAAGGUCCCAAAGUCAUGGUUAAGUGGGAAACGAUGUGGGAAGGCACAGACAGCCAGGAUGUUGGCUUAGAAGCAGCCAUCAUUUAAAGAAAGCGUAAUAGCUCACUGGUCGAGUCGGCCUGCGCGGAAGAUGUAACGGGGCUAAACCAUGCACCGAAGCUGCGGCAGCGACACUAUGUGUUGUUGGGUAGGGGAGCGUUCUGUAAGCCUGCGAAGGUGACCUGUGAGGGUUGCUGGAGGUAUCAGAAGUGCGAAUGCUGACAUAAGUAACGAUAAAGCGGGUGAAAAGCCCGCUCGCCGGAAGACCAAGGGUUCCUGUCCAACGUUAAUCGGGGCAGGGUGAGUCGACCCCUAAGGCGAGGCCGAAAGGCGUAGUCGAUGGGAAACAGGUUAAUAUUCCUGUACUUGGUGUUACUGCGAAGGGGGGACGGAGAAGGCUAUGUUAGCCGGGCGACGGUUGUCCCGGUUUAAGCAUGUAGGCUGGUUGUCCAGGCAAAUCCGGAUAAUCAAGGCUGAGGUGUGAUGACGAGGCACUACGGUGCUGAAGUAACAAAUGCCCUGCUUCCAGGAAAAGCCUCUAAGCAUCAGGUAACAUUAAAUCGUACCCCAAACCGACACAGGUGGUCAGGUAGAGAAUACCAAGGCGCUUGAGAGAACUCGGGUGAAGGAACUAGGCAAAAUGGUGCCGUAACUUCGGGAGAAGGCACGCUGGUGUGUAGGUGAAGUCCCUGCGGAUGGAGCUGAGACCAGUCGAAGAUACCAGCUGGCUGCAACUGUUUAUUAAAAACACAGCACUGUGCAAACACGAAAGUGGACGUAUACGGUGUGACGCCUGCCCGGUGCCGGAAGGUUAAUUGAUGGGGUUAUCCGUAAGGAGAAGCUCUUGAUCGAAGCCCCGGUAAACGGCGGCCGUAACUAUAACGGUCCUAAGGUAGCGAAAUUCCUUGUCGGGUAAGUUCCGACCUGCACGAAUGGCGUAAUGAUGGCCAGGCUGUCUCCACCCGAGACUCAGUGAAAUUGAACUCGCUGUGAAGAUGCAGUGUACCCGCGGCAAGACGGAAAGACCCCGUGAACCUUUACUAUAGCUUGACACUGAACAUUGAGCCUUGAUGUGUAGGAUAGGUGGGAGGCUUUGAAGCGUGGACGCCAGUCUGCGUGGAGCCGACCUUGAAAUACCACCCUUUAAUGUUUGAUGUUCUAACGUUGGCCCCUUACCGGGGUUGCGGACAGUGUCUGGUGGGUAGUUUGACUGGGGCGGUCUCCUCCCAAAGCGUAACGGAGGAGCACGAAGGUUAGCUAAUCCUGGUCGGACAUCAGGAGGUUAGUGCAAUGGCAUAAGCUAGCUUGACUGCGAGCGUGACGGCGCGAGCAGGUGCGAAAGCAGGUCAUAGUGAUCCGGUGGUUCUGAAUGGAAGGGCCAUCGCUCAACGGAUAAAAGGUACUCCGGGGAUAACAGGCUGAUACCGCCCAAGAGUUCAUAUCGACGGCGGUGUUUGGCACCUCGAUGUCGGCUCAUCACAUCCUGGGGCUGAAGUAGGUCCCAAGGGUAUGGCUGUUCGCCAUUUAAAGUGGUACGCGAGCUGGGUUUAGAACGUCGUGAGACAGUUCGGUCCCUAUCUGCCGUGGGCGCUGGAGAAUUGAGGGGGGCUGCUCCUAGUACGAGAGGACCGGAGUGGACGCAUCACUGGUGUUCGGGUUGUCAUGCCAAUGGCACUGCCCGGUAGCUAAAUGCGGAAGAGAUAAGUGCUGAAAGCAUCUAAGCACGAAACUUGCCCCGAGAUGAGUUCUCCCUGAGACUUUAAGUCUCCUGAAGGAACGUUAAAGACGAUGACGUUGAUAGGCCGGGUGUGUAAGCGCAGCGAUGCGUUGAGCUAACCGGUACUAAUGAACCGUGAGGCUUAACCUU